GCCCUGGUGGUGCAAUGGUUAAGCACUUGGCUGCUAACUGAAAGGUUGUGGUUCAAAUCCACCCAGUGGCU
Molecule: transfer RNA, 71 nt
Filed under: Loxodonta africana (African savanna elephant)
Lineage: Eukaryota; Metazoa; Chordata; Mammalia; Proboscidea; Elephantidae
Rfam family: tRNA
About the family: Transfer RNA (tRNA) molecules are approximately 80 nucleotides in length. Their secondary structure includes four short double-helical elements and three loops (D, anti-codon, and T loops).
Source: Rfam by way of RNAcentral